Non-coding RNA from Picea glauca (white spruce), 72 nucleotides. The record is from Rfam. NCBI's taxonomy places the organism in Eukaryota, Viridiplantae, Streptophyta, Pinopsida, Pinales, Pinaceae.
GGGCCUAUAGCUCAGUGGUAGAGCAAUUGACUGCAGAUCAAGAGGUCACCGGUUCGAACCCAGUUGGGCCCU